This 340-nucleotide ribosomal RNA is filed under the name uncultured Glomeromycotina. Its description in RNAcentral is "eukaryotic LSU rRNA". Lineage: Eukaryota; Fungi; Glomeromycota. The record is from RNAcentral.
AUCAGCCUUUCGGGUGCGAUUCUGUGGAGUGUGAGGAGCUUAACACCUUCAUGCUUUGCAUAUUUGUGCUCUUGGGUGUACUUGCCCGUGUGGUUGGUUAACAUCAAUUUUGGUGGUCAUAAAAUGACUGGAGGAAUGUAGCUUCGAUCUCGUAUUGAAGUGUUAUAGCCUUCGGUAGAUGUGAUGAUCGAGAUUGAGGAUUGCAACGGAUACCCUUCGGGGCUACCUGUCUGGUCUCUGAUCGUUGCUCUGGGCCGAAAGCUUGCUUACGGUUAUCAAAGUCGAUGGUCAAUAGGUUAGAACGGGUUAAAUUCGUUAAGGAUGUUGACGUAAUGGCUUU